UACGAAGGGACCUAGCGUAGUUCGGAAUUACUGGGCUUAAAGAGCUCGUAGGUGGUUAGAAAAGUUGGUGGUGAAAUCCCAAGGCUUAACCUUGGAACUGCCCCCAAAACUUUUUGACUAGAGUAUGAUAGAGGUAAGUGGAAUUUCUAGUGUAGAGGUGAAAUUCGUAGAUAUUAGAAAGAACACCAAUUGCGAAGGCAGCUUUCUGGAUCAUUACUGACACUGAGGAGCGAAAGCAUGGGUAGCGAAGAGG
RNAcentral lists this ribosomal RNA (253 nucleotides) under uncultured Pelagibacterales bacterium. Its description in RNAcentral is "partial 16S ribosomal RNA". It matches the Rfam family "Bacterial small subunit ribosomal RNA", at positions 524 to 776 of the family's 1533-position model. Lineage: Bacteria; Pseudomonadati; Pseudomonadota; Alphaproteobacteria; Candidatus Pelagibacterales. The record is from RNAcentral.